UUGGCCCUGAAUCAAGGCCAGCAGUUUGCUGAAGCUGUUGGUUUCAAACAGGAGCCUAAAGAAAUGUCUUUCUAUGGUCUGUUGACCAUUUCAAAACUUUGGAAAUGUAAUGGUCAAUUCAUUAGAAAGAAAUAUAU
This 137-nucleotide small nucleolar RNA is filed under the name Neogale vison (American mink). The record is from RNAcentral. Lineage: Eukaryota; Metazoa; Chordata; Mammalia; Carnivora; Mustelidae.